Molecule: ribosomal RNA, 287 nt
Filed under: uncultured bacterium
Lineage: Bacteria
Description: partial 16S ribosomal RNA
Rfam family: Bacterial small subunit ribosomal RNA
Source: RNAcentral
GUGGAUUAGAUACCCUAGUAGUCCACGCCGUAAACGUUGGGAACUAGAUGUGGGGACCUUUCCACGGUCUCCGUGUCGCAGCUAACGCAUUAAGUUCCCCGCCUGGGGAGUACGGCCGCAAGGCUAAAACUCAAAGGAAUUGACGGGGGCCCGCACAAGCGGCGGAGCAUGCGGAUUAAUUCGAUGCAACGCGAAGAACCUUACCAAGGCUUGACAUAUACCGGAAACUUCCAGAAAUGGUUGCCCCGCAAGGUCGGUAUACAGGUGGUGCACGGCUGUCGACAGCU